RNAcentral lists this long non-coding RNA (434 nucleotides) under Jatropha curcas. RNAcentral describes it as "long non-coding RNA (JCUR_LNC003009)". The record is from RNAcentral. Lineage: Eukaryota; Viridiplantae; Streptophyta; Magnoliopsida; Malpighiales; Euphorbiaceae.
GUUUCGAGACUGGACCGUAGAGAAUCAGCUUACAACUGCUGCAGUUCAUCUGUGGAAGACUCAGUCUUCAGGGUAGCUACUCAUUUGGAUAUUUUGAUUCUGUCUAUCCUUAUCAUGGCAUGUACAGGGCACACAGUUGGGCCCAUUUCAUUUUGAAAAUUAGUAUCAUGUCUUGUAAAAAUAUUAAGUACAUAUCUAUAUUUUCCUCAUGUAAAAAGCAACAGCUUGACAUCAUAAUCAGCAUACAACAUGAUAUUAGCCUAAAAGGACAUAGGUUCAACCAGAUUGUAGCGUCUCAGCUCGGUUCAUUUGAGUUAACGGGUGGACCGGGAAGGGAUGUUACAUUGAUAGUAGUAAUUUAUUCUAGUUUUCACCUAAAUUCUAAUAAGAUAUUAUAGUUGUUAACAUUUAUAAAAUACCUAGUGUUUUGUUCA